Molecule: long non-coding RNA, 1248 nt
Filed under: Neogobius melanostomus (round goby)
Lineage: Eukaryota; Metazoa; Chordata; Actinopteri; Gobiiformes; Gobiidae
Description: lncRNA (ENSNMLG00000021737.1)
Source: RNAcentral
CCGUUGAAGAACAUGAAGAUGUAGUACUGGAGUUCCUGCAGUACUACUCAUCUUGGUUUCGACGAAAGCAGUUGCUUGGAUGCUUAAAGUGAAGCGCAUUCUGCUGCAACUGUGUCGCAAAAGGAAAGAGUUGAACACUGUAAAGGCUCAACCUGAGAGUUGAAAAGGAAAUGAAGAGUUGGAAAGACAGGCUGUUUCAAGCUGACACGAACAGUCUUGCAAUGGAGAACCUCACAGAAGCUGAAGAAGCAGUCAUUCGCUAUUGCCAAACAAAGACAUUUUCCAAAGAGAUAGCCGCACUAAGUAAAGGACAAGGGGUGAAGACGACCAGUAGCCUUUUCAAACUGAACCCAUUACUUGAACAAGGCAUCCUCAGAGUCGGAGGACGACUCAGCAGAUCAGCAUUACCUGAAGAAUCAAAGCGGCCAGCAAUCCUGGAUAAGGAUCUGCAUGUCACAAAGCUUAUUCUCAGGGAAAUACACGAGAACUUGUCUCAUUGCGGUCGCAAUCACGUACUCUCCAAAUUGAGAACAAAGUUUUGGGUUCCUGGUGCCAACUCCGCAGUGAGAAAGAUACUCGCAAAGGGCAUAGUCUGCCGACGUGCACAUGGAGUCGCAGGACAGCAACAAAUGGCUGACCUUCCUCGGGACAGAGUUCUGCCGGAUGACCCUCCGUUUACCAACACUGGAGUGGACUACUUUAGUCUGUUCGAAAUCAAACGCGGACGAAGCAUGGUAAAACGGUAUGGGGUUAUUUUCACGCGCUUAACUAUCCGUGCAAUACACUUGGAGAUGGCGGCCUCAUUGGACACGGAUUCCUUUAUUCACGCUUUACGUCGCUUCAUAGCAAGACGAGGCCAGGUAAAGAUCCUUCGUUCGGAUAAUGGAACGAAUUUCAUCGGUGCGGAGCGCGAACUCAAAAGAGCCAUCGAGGAAUGGAAUGUGUUCAAAAUUGAAGACCUGCUACAUCAACAAGGCAUUCAGUGGAUGUUCAACCCUCCCUCAGGAUCUCACCACGGAGGUGUGUGGGAGAGAUUAAUCAAGUCGGUGAAGAAAAUAUUGAACGCCACCUUCAAGCUACAGACAUUGGAUGAAGGCGGCCUACACACUCUUCUAUGUGAGGCAGAGGCCAUUAUCAAUAGUCGGCCAAUAACCAAAGCAUCUAGUGAUCCAAACGAUUUAGAGGUACUCACUCCCAAUCACCUCUUGCUUCUCAAGACUAAACCAUCUCUCUCCCCUGGCGUGUUCG